This 492-nucleotide ribosomal RNA is filed under the name uncultured bacterium. Its description in RNAcentral is "partial 16S ribosomal RNA". It matches the Rfam family "Bacterial small subunit ribosomal RNA", at positions 29 to 507 of the family's 1533-position model. The record is from RNAcentral.
AGUGAACGCUGGCGGUAGGCCUAACACAUGCAAGUCGAACGGCAGCACAGUAAGAGCUUGCUCUUACGGGUGGCGAGUGGCGGACGGGUGGGGAAUACAUCGGAAUCUACUUUUUCGUGGGGGAUAACGUAGGGAAACUUACGCUAAUACCGCAUACGACCUACGGGUGAAAGCAGGGGAUCUUCGGACCUUGCGCGAUUGAAUGAGCCGAUGUCGGAUUAGCUAGUUGGCGGGGUAAAGGCCCACCAAGGCGACGAUCCGUAGCUGGUCUGAGAGGAUGAUCAGCCACACUGGAACUGAGACACGGUCCAGACUCCUACGGGAGGCAGCAGUGGGGAAUAUUGGACAAUGGGCGCAAGCCUGAUCCAGCCAGACCGCGUGGGUGAAGAAGGCCUUCGGGUUGUAAAGACCUUUUGUUGGGAAAGAAAAGCAGCAGGUUAAUACCCCGCUGUUCUGACGGUACCCAAAGAAUAAGCACCGGCUAACUUCGUG